UCAAAUCAUAUGCUCAAAAUUGUUUAUAAAGACCUACAUUUGGAGAAAGUCCCCAGACCUCUGGCAGAGUGCCGCAUGCACAUGCACGUGGACCCCCCCCCCCCCCCGCUUCCAGGGUUAAAGACCUACAUUUA
RNAcentral lists this small RNA (134 nucleotides) under Vicugna pacos (alpaca). RNAcentral's name for it is "RNase MRP (ENSVPAG00000017674.1)". The record is from RNAcentral. Lineage: Eukaryota; Metazoa; Chordata; Mammalia; Artiodactyla; Camelidae.